Molecule: ribosomal RNA, 460 nt
Filed under: uncultured bacterium
Lineage: Bacteria
Description: partial 16S ribosomal RNA
Rfam family: Bacterial small subunit ribosomal RNA
Source: RNAcentral
CCUACGGGUGGCAGCAGUGAGGAAUCUUGGUCAAUGGACGCAAGUCUGAACCAGCCAUGCCGCGUGCCGGAAGACGGCUCUAUGAGUUGUAAACUGCUUUUGUACGAGGGUAAACGCCGCUACGUGUAUCUGGCUGAAAGUAUCGUACGAAUAAAGAUCGGCUAACUCCGGGCCAGCAGCCGCGGUAAUACGGAGGAUUCAAGCGUUAUCCGGAUUUAUUGUGUUUAAAGGGUGCGUAGGCGGUGGGAUAAGUUAGAGGGGAAAUCCCGGGGCGCAACUCGGGCAUGGCCUCUGAUACGGUCGGGCUAGAGAGUAGUUGCGGUAGGCGGAAUGUAUGGUGGAGCGGUGAAAGGCUUAGAGAUCAUACAGAACACCGAUUGCGAAGGCAGCUUACCAAGCUACUACUGACGUUGAGGCACGAAAGCGUGGGGAGCAAACAGGAUUAGAUACCCCAGUAGUC